CAGGGAGAGAGAGGUAUGUAGCAGCAUUUGCCUUUUCAAAUUUGAAUUUGUGUGUUUAAAAUAAUUAGAAUUAGUGCCUGUUUUUGGUUAGCUUUAAAAAUACGGGGAAAGGAGCCAGUCAUUAUAAAACUUGUCAGUGUAAAACUUGACUGGGCUAUUGCUGAAGUAAGGGGGAGGUGCAUGUGUAUGCACAAAACCUGUUAUUCUUUCGCCUCUCUGAAGUUAUCCUGUAACCCCAGGGAUCUGUGAAGCUUAAAAUGGACUUGAGAUAACCAUCCUCAACUCCCAAACCAUUAAAAGAGGGAGGAAAGAAGGUUGCAGAGACAUCAAUGCUACUGUGCAUCUGGACUUUUCAAAAUACUUGCUCUGAGUCUGUGGUGGCUUUCUCAGCUCAGCCCAGGCUGUUUUGAUGUGGUGUGUUUCUGAAAGAGGCUUUAAAAUCAACACCAUGUCUGGAGUCAGGCCAGACAUGUUGGGGUUCUUUUAUCAUUACUUGUUUGGUGGAGCUGUGGCACUAUGGCAAAGCAAAUGUCAGAUCUGUCAGACUCCAUCUACGGUGUCAAGACUGUGGAUGUAGCCGUUCCCAAACAGAGCUUUUACAAAUCAUGUUUGGUACAGAGAAUGAUGGUUUAGUUUAGCUCACUAAGAAAGGUCUGGCAGGCUUUUGGACAGAAGAUGCCAUAGGAAUUCCCAGCUUUCAUCAGGGAAUACAAAUUAUAUCAUCUACAGCACUACUAAUAAUGAAUAGGGGAAAAAAAUAGUAGCUACACUCCUCACUACUUGCCGAGGAGUUCAUGCCUGUGUUUGCUGCACCUCUUUGGGAACUCCGUGUGAGACAGCCUCCACUCCACAGAGAGGAACGUCUUUCAAUUCAGAGUCUCUCUUGAAAACCAGGAUUUUCUAGUAUGCUAAAAAAUUACUAUUUCAUACUUCUUAUGAAUUGUUCACUGUUUGACAGUAGUUUAUUAGAAGUGGGGAAAAAAUAGGCAAAAACUUUCUCUUCAGAAUCCUUAGAAUGAAUGCUUGCCCUCCAGAGGGCAUUCCAGUCAUGGGCUAUUGAUAGCUUGGAAAACAAAGUUGCUGAGUUCAUGUAUGCAACAGAAAGCUGUGAAAUACAGACGUAUUAGAAGUGGCCAGUAGUGCAAGCUCUGGAGGAGCUAUCUGGGGGUUUGAUUAGCCCCUUUCCUACAUGUUUACUUUAAAUGUCCUCUGAAUCCAAUUUAUCCACUGCCAGGAAUUUUCACCCUAGAACCUCUGCAGCUUUAAUUACAGAUUCCUAGAAUGGUUUGGGUUGGAAGGAACUUUAUGUAGUUCCAACCCCCAGACCAGCUUGCUGUUAAGGGGCAGUAUGUAAUACUAGUUAUACAUCCCCAGCUCUCCAGUUAUCUUUGUGGCUUUCAUCCUCCCUGCAUUGCAAGGAGGAGGAAAUAGUUUGCAAAGACCUUUAUACUUAACAGAAAUAAAAUGAGACACUUCUGUAAAUGUGUGAACCUGAUCUCCUCAUCUUGCUUUAAGAUGAUAAUUAUAUUUGCUAAGGGAGUUAUGGGAUGAUGGAAACUCUAGCAGCAGAUAAAGUGUUUCUAUUUCUGGUACCCUAGGGAUAGGGUAUCGAUUCACCACGACAGACAGAGCAAAAGCCCUUGAAGUGCUAUUGUUGAAAUAACUUUGAGACCUGUCAUCUGCCAACAGAUCCUGUUCUCCCACCGGUGCUGAGGAGAUCCAGGUUGAUAGUGGGAGAUCCUGCCAAAUAUCCAUCACAGCUGCACUUUGGGUAAAAGCUCUCAGUGAAACAUCAGUCUGCAGAGAAAGCAAAACUCCUGGAAGCCAAACAUCACAGAGGAGUGUGGAGGGAAAGAGUAAGUAAGAGUAAGUGAAGUGGAUCUACAUGAAAUAUGGGAAGGAGGAGGCUGAGGUAUGUGCAGAGCAUUGGUGGGAAGGUUUUGAUGACACCAGGGUCUUUCAGCUUUUCGGUGUGGAAAAAAUCAAUGUCGGGAUGUGAAAAUAAUCAUCUCCUGAAAGUGAAGAAGUAGUUGUCCUUCUAUCUAAUGAGUGCUGUUUGUUUAGUUCUGCUGGACUUUUUAAGCUGAAGCAAACCUGUUAUGUGCCACAUUGUGAGUCAGAAGGAAGAGUUUCCUGGAGAUGGGCCUAGAUACCUUGAUUUUGCGGCAACUCUGUGUCCCUGACAAAAUCUUUCCAAUGUUUGGACAAAGAAAAGCCAAAAGCCCAAGAGGCAGAUUGCUCCAGAUCAUGUACUUGGAUGGAUUUGCACCAUAACCAACUUCAGGGAACUCUGCAUACAAAGUUUUUGCCCCAAAAUGUCAACUGUGGUUAGCACAGAGGUAACACUUCCUGGGAUUGGAAGAAAAGACUCAAAAUAUGCAGCUGCAGUUGCAUAUUACGAACUGGAGUGAGAACGUAGAGUCUUCUGUAAAUCAAUGGACUGGAUUUUCCCGGAGAGCUGGAACACAGCGACUCAAAAGAAAAGGCUGCCUGGGGAUCAGAGGGACUUCCCAGAGCCCAUCAGGCUGCUUGAGGAAAGAGAAAUUGUUACCAAUAUGGAGCCUUGUGACAUUACUUCAGGAGGGAGGAUUUAAUGGACACUUCCUCUCAGGGCCUGCAGAGUCUGGGGGAGGUUGUGGCGCCCAUGCCAGACGUAUCUGUUCCUGGCCAGGCGGCUCACCAUGUGCAGGCUCUCCAGCACGUUCACAAUGUCAUAGAUGCGCCUGCGCUCCACGUCUGCAGAGGG
Molecule: long non-coding RNA, 2746 nt
Organism: Poecile atricapillus (Black-capped chickadee)
Lineage: Eukaryota; Metazoa; Chordata; Aves; Passeriformes; Paridae
Exons: 6
Source: RefSeq, a predicted model, not a curated record